Molecule: ribosomal RNA, 2187 nt
Filed under: Escherichia coli
Lineage: Bacteria; Pseudomonadati; Pseudomonadota; Gammaproteobacteria; Enterobacterales; Enterobacteriaceae
Description: bacterial LSU rRNA
Rfam family: Bacterial large subunit ribosomal RNA
Source: RNAcentral
ACCGAACCGACUAAUGUUGAAAAAUUAGCGGAUGACUUGUGGCUGGGGGUGAAAGGCCAAUCAAACCGGGAGAUAGCUGGUUCUCCCCGAAAGCUAUUUAGGUAGCGCCUCGUGAAUUCAUCUCCGGGGGUAGAGCACUGUUUCGGCAAGGGGGUCAUCCCGACUUACCAACCCGAUGCAAACUGCGAAUACCGGAGAAUGUUAUCACGGGAGACACACGGCGGGUGCUAACGUCCGUCGUGAAGAGGGAAACAACCCAGACCGCCAGCUAAGGUCCCAAAGUCAUGGUUAAGUGGGAAACGAUGUGGGAAGGCCCAGACAGCCAGGAUGUUGGCUUAGAAGCAGCCAUCAUUUAAAGAAAGCGUAAUAGCUCACUGGUCGAGUCGGCCUGCGCGGAAGAUGUAACGGGGCUAAACCAUGCACCGAAGCUGCGGCAGCGACGCUUAUGCGUUGUUGGGUAGGGGAGCGUUCUGUAAGCCUGUGAAGGUGUGCUGUGAGGCAUGCUGGAGGUAUCAGAAGUGCGAAUGCUGACAUAAGUAACGAUAAAGCGGGUGAAAAGCCCGCUCGCCGGAAGACCAAGGGUUCCUGUCCAACGUUAAUCGGGGCAGGGUGAGUCGACCCCUAAGGCGAGGCCGAAAGGCGUAGUCGAUGGGAAACAGGUUAAUAUUCCUGUACUUGGUGUUACUGCGAAGGGGGGACGGAGAAGGCUAUGUUGGCCGGGCGACGGUUGUCCCGGUUUAAGCGUGUAGGCUGGUUUUCCAGGCAAAUCCGGAAAAUCAAGGCUGAGGCGUGAUGACGAGGCACUACGGUGCUGAAGCAACAAAUGCCCUGCUUCCAGGAAAAGCCUCUAAGCAUCAGGUAACAUCAAAUCGUACCCCAAACCGACACAGGUGGUCAGGUAGAGAAUACCAAGGCGCUUGAGAGAACUCGGGUGAAGGAACUAGGCAAAAUGGUGCCGUAACUUCGGGAGAAGGCACGCUGAUAUGUAGGUGAAGUCCCUCGCGGAUGGAGCUGAAAUCAGUCGAAGAUACCAGCUGGCUGCAACUGUUUAUUAAAAACACAGCACUGUGCAAACACGAAAGUGGACGUAUACGGUGUGACGCCUGCCCGGUGCCGGAAGGUUAAUUGAUGGGGUUAGCGCAAGCGAAGCUCUUGAUCGAAGCCCCGGUAAACGGCGGCCGUAACUAUAACGGUCCUAAGGUAGCGAAAUUCCUUGUCGGGUAAGUUCCGACCUGCACGAAUGGCGUAAUGAUGGCCAGGCUGUCUCCACCCGAGACUCAGUGAAAUUGAACUCGCUGUGAAGAUGCAGUGUACCCGCGGCAAGACGGAAAGACCCCGUGAACCUUUACUAUAGCUUGACACUGAACAUUGAGCCUUGAUGUGUAGGAUAGGUGGGAGGCUUUGAAGUGUGGACGCCAGUCUGCAUGGAGCCGACCUUGAAAUACCACCCUUUAAUGUUUGAUGUUCUAACGUUGACCCGUAAUCCGGGUUGCGGACAGUGUCUGGUGGGUAGUUUGACUGGGGCGGUCUCCUCCUAAAGAGUAACGGAGGAGCACGAAGGUUGGCUAAUCCUGGUCGGACAUCAGGAGGUUAGUGCAAUGGCAUAAGCCAGCUUGACUGCGAGCGUGACGGCGCGAGCAGGUGCGAAAGCAGGUCAUAGUGAUCCGGUGGUUCUGAAUGGAAGGGCCAUCGCUCAACGGAUAAAAGGUACUCCGGGGAUAACAGGCUGAUACCGCCCAAGAGUUCAUAUCGACGGCGGUGUUUGGCACCUCGAUGUCGGCUCAUCACAUCCUGGGGCUGAAGUAGGUCCCAAGGGUAUGGCUGUUCGCCAUUUAAAGUGGUACGCGAGCUGGGUUUAGAACGUCGUGAGACAGUUCGGUCCCUAUCUGCCGUGGGCGCUGGAGAACUGAGGGGGGCUGCUCCUAGUACGAGAGGACCGGAGUGGACGCAUCACUGGUGUUCGGGUUGUCAUGCCAAUGGCACUGCCCGGUAGCUAAAUGCGGAAGAGAUAAGUGCUGAAAGCAUCUAAGCACGAAACUUGCCCCGAGAUGAGUUCUCCCUGACUCCUUGAGAGUCCUGAAGGAACGUUGAAGACGACGACGUUGAUAGGCCGGGUGUGUAAGCGCAGCGAUGCGUUGAGCUAACCGGUACUAAUGAACCGUGAGGCUUAACCUUACAACGCCGAAG